UUUACUUUGUGUUCCUUGAUGCAUUGGAGUAGGUAAUAGGCAAUAGUAGGUCCCCGUGUUCUUCAUUAGGACCUGGGUAUGUUUCGGUAAGUAAGGGCCUGGCAGUAAGCUUUAGUUUCUUACAGUGUGCCUACGUUGUAUAAGGGAGGAGAAUAGGGAGGUUGCCAAGAUAUACAUAAGCAGAGAAAUUGGGAAUUUCAGUUAAGUUGCCUACGAUAGAUACUGUUGGCAUUGGCUAAGUCAGGAACAAAGUGUAAUAAGCAAGGCUACAUAGAUUGAAACUUUGGGGAUAAGGCAGAAGGUGAGUGAUUUUUUAAAGGGGGCAUUUGGGAGGUUACAGUGGCCACUAAAGGGGGUACAGGUUUGCUGGGAAAACUGUAUGUUGGACUUGGAGCAGACGGGGGUUUUAGAAUUGUUCUUUGAUGGGCUGUGGCAUGAAACUGUGAUAGAAUAUCUUGAGUUGGCAUCAAGGUUGGAACUAUGGUUGUGCUGAAGUUAUCAUUCGGGAUGCUUUGAUCUCUUUGGGCUGAGACCCUCAUCCCUGAGCUGAUGGUUGUUGUUUGUGCUGUCAUCUGUGAUUGAGUGGUAGGUAGUACCUUUAAGGAACCAUGUAGUAGAUGAUGGAAACUCAUGGUAUGAAUCCUGGGCGAACACCCAAGACCUCAAGGCAAAGUUCUACAUUUGAGAAAUUAUUGCAAGACUGACUGAAGACCAAGGGAUGCUCUGGGGCACGUUGGCUCUACCAGGUGACCUCAUAUGCAUCAGAUGUAGAAUAUAAGUAGUCUUAGGAGCUCUACCUAUACAGAUACACAUUGUGUCUUCUGUCACUUUUACCUCCAUUUGUUAUCAAGUAAAGCUGUGAAGUAACUGAAUGCCCAAACAGCAUUGAGCUGGAGUGGGAGAAUCCCAGGCCCAGAUCAUGAGCCAAAUGAGAUAAGGUCAGGCCAAGUAGAGCUAUAAUGUCCCACAAUGACAUAUUUUUGCCUUUGAUGUGUGGUCCUCAGCAUGCUGGGGGUGCCUGCUUAUUACGAUGGGAAUCAUGGGCAUUGUCAUCCCAGAUCCUGUAAUGGCUCCCCCAUUCCCAUUAAGUAUUUACAUAAUGGGCUGAAGCCAGAGCUGGUGUCCUAUUUAAGAAUGUUGGUGCUGGGUAGGGCACUUGGGUGGCUCAGUAGGUUAAGUGUCUGAUUCUUGAUUUUGGCUCAGGUCAUGAUCUCAGGGUCAUGAGAUCAAGCCCCAUGUUGGGCUCCCUGCUAAGUGUGGAACUUGCCCAGGAUUCUCUCCCUCUCCCUCUCCCUCUGCCUCCACUCUCUCACAUGCACAUGUGUGCUCACAUGCAUUCCCUCUCUCAAAAAAAAAAAAAAAAAAAUGGUGCUGGGAACUAAUUUAAGAUCUUCCCCUUGUUUAAAGAUCUACACAAUUACAGGUAUGGGACUGGGUACAAGACAUACUUCCUAUAAAGGGAGACCUCCCAUUAGCCAACCUUUAUACUGUUGGGGAAGGGUAGCAAGUUUGGCAGAGACCUUUCUUGUGGCCUAUAGAAUAAUCUUUUCAGCAGUCAUGGGCCCUCAGUUCCCAGUGGAUCCCAUUCUAUUAUCUGCCCUAGAACUGGUUGCCAGUCCAGCAUACAUUGUGCCAGAACUGAAGAGGCAGGAUUUGGGGGGAGGGUGCCUUUGGGUGAAAAAGGGAGUUCUAUCUGGGUAUUAUAGAGCCUGGAAAGAAAAAGAAUGGUCCCCUGGUGGCAUUUUGGCAGUCUUGGGACCUAAAAAUUGAAAGUUUAAGGUGACUAAAGAAAUGUGCAGAAGAGAGAGCCAUUUGGAAGCCAUUAUCCAUUUUGUGAUUUUAGUAUAUGUGCUGCCAAAUCGAGCACCCAUUUUGUGAUUUUAAUAGGGCAUCCUUCAGAGGACCAUUUUUUCUCUAUCUGUAUAUGAUAGGAUAAACGCAUGUUCCAAAUGAUGUUUUUUUUUUGGUAAGGUGUGUGCCUGAACUGAAUGAGCACUAAUGUGUAUCCUGAUCAGAGUCAGUGAUAUCUGGGGGCCCAGAGGAGAUGUAAUCAAGUUUUAUUUUUUUUUUAAUUUUUUUUUAAAGAUUUUAUUUAUUUAUUUGACAGAGAGAAAUUACAUGUAGGCAGAGAGGCAGGCAGAGAGAAAGAGGAGGAAGCAGGCUCCCUGCUGAGCAGAGAGCCCGAUGCGGGGCUUGAUCCCAGGACCCUGGGAUCAUGACCUGAGCUGAAGGCAGAGGCUUAACCCACUGAGCCACCCAGGCGCCCCUGUAAUCAAGUUUUAAUGAAGUCUAUUAUGGUGAUGUUGGCGAGGCACACCAGGAAGAAUAAUUCAGGAAAUCAGUUUACAUAAUAUUACAGGAUAUUAUAAAGGAUACAAGUCAGCUUUCUUCCCCUUUCUUUCUUCGGGGACUCCCAUAAUAUGUAUAUUUUCCUAUAGUAUAACCCAUAAUUCACAUGGGCUUUCUUCACUCUUUUUCUUCUCUAAAAAUUUCUUCUUUUUAAAAAUUUCUUUAAAAUUUAAAAAAGAUUUUAUUUAAUCAUUUGACAGAGAGAGUGGAGAGGGAACACAACCAGGGAAAGUGGAAGAGGGAGAAGCAGGCUUCCCACCAAGCAGGGAGCCCGAUUCGAGGCUCGAUCCCAGAACCCUGGGAUCAUGACCUGAGCCGAAGGCAGACGCACAACAACUGAGCCACCCAGAUGCCCCAGACUGAAAAUUUCUAAUGACUCAUCUUUGAACCAACAGAUUUUUUAUUCUGCUUGACCACGUCUGAUGUUUAUACUCUCUAUUGCACUUUUCAUUUCAUUCAUUGUAUUUGGGGGCUCCAGAAUUUCAGUUUGGUUCUUUUUUUCUAACUUCUAUCUCUCCACUGAACUUCCUGUUUUGUUGACAUAUUCCUUUCCUAAUUUUGUUGGGUUGUCUGUCAGUGUUCUCACUAAGCUUGCUUAGAAGUUAAUUUUGAAUUCUUUGUCAGGCAACUUUUCACUCUCCGUUUCUUUGAGGUUACUUACUGAAAAAUUGUGUUCUUUGGUGGUGUCAUGUUUCCUUGAUUUCUCAUAUUCCUUGAAGUCUUGUGUUGCUGUCUUUUCGUUUGAAGAAGGAGUAACCUCCUCCAGUCUCUACUGAGUGGCUUCAGUAGAGAAAUACUGUCACUAGUCAGCUGGCUAGGGAUUCUGAGUCUUUCUCAGAACUUUGUGUGGAUGCAUCCAGUCCACACUUUGUCUUCCCUCUGAUGGAAGACAUUUAUAAGAAUGUAUGCUUUUUCUCUACCCCACAAAGCCAGGCUUGGUGUUGAGAGCCUCCCUUAUUUUCCCUUACGGUUUUUCCCUGAAGUGCUUAUGUCUGUGUUCCUUUUCCAAAUCCUACAGAAUUAAGUUGGCUUUCUAUGUGUGUUUGCUAGAGGUCUGUAAAGGCUCAUGCUUAGCAUCUGCUGAGAUGGGUGCAGGGAGAUAGUCACAAGGUAGAGGAAAUGAGGCAUGUGGAGGGUUGGGGCUGCCAAUGGGCAGUUUGCAGAGACUGCAGGAGAGGCAUCCCCAGCAGCAGCUUUUGGGCAGGCUUCCUGACAGUCUGUGAAGCAUUUAAUAGAAUCUGCAUAUCUUGGAUGAGUUCCCAGCCCUGGUUGCUGUGCUUCCAGCCUCUCCCAGCCAUUCAGCCUUGCGGAUCACCUCAGUAUUCUGGGUAGAGCAGGAAAGAAGUGAGCCUCUUGAGAAGCAUCACACACCACUGGGGAGGCCGAGUAUUCUUUCAUAUGAUCAUACUUUCCCACAUGGGGGAAAUUGCAGACCAAUGGAAUGUCUCUUGGCAGUGAAUUCUGCUGUCUUGGAAGAGAGGUGACACAGAUAAAGUGAACUGUUCUUAUCUUCUUCAAUACAUCUGUUCUCAGAUUUGUUGCUCCAACAGUGCUGGAACUUUUCUAUUGAAUACAGAAUACCUACAAAUGUACCCUUGUCCCUGAGAGAUUGCUCUCAAACCCCUGAAUUUUGCAAAGUCAUCCUUGCCACCAGAAGCAGCCAUUCCACUACUGCCUGAGGAAAUUGACCCUUUUAUGCCUGAAGAACAUGCAGUGGUUUCCUCUGAGAUAGAUACAUUGAAUGACACUGCUGAUUCUCCUCAGGACCAAAUCCUGCUACACUUCUUUGGCUUCACACUUACACUUAGAUUCAAUUCAUACCUCAUACCAAAGAUUAGUUAUAAAUAUAACACUGAGGUGAUAGUCCACACCUCAAAAGAAUUUCAUGAUUUUUCAAUUUAUAUGGACAAAUCUGGGAACAUGUUUGGGAAUGGGUCUUGGGGAUAUGGGGUGAUGGUACAAGGAGUAUAAAAUUUGAUGACAUGAAUAUACUGAAAUAGGCUCACUAAGCAUAGAUUCUGGAUCUAAAAUUUUAGCUCCUUAAGUUGGAGAGUCUGUUUUGUUUUGCUUUGUUUUUUUGGUUGGUAGGUUGAAAAAUGGAAGGAAAUGUAGCUACAGUAAGUUAGGUUGAAAUUCCAGAAUUUCUUUGGUACAAUGUAGAGGAAAGUGAUCGAAGUCUUAUGGAGAUUUAAAUGUUAGAGCAGAUUUAUCAUGUUAGACAUGGUCACCAACCCUGGAAGGAUAGAGAAAUCAUAGUUCACCAUGAGAAAUAAUUUGUAAGAGGAAUCUCAGUAUCUUUGAAGAGCUCAAGGUUGGUUCUUCUCUGUAGAUGAGGUAUUACAGUGGGAACUCCACUGAACUGGGAUCCCUAAAUGAAUUUAAUGAUAGGAUCCCAGUGUGGUGGCAGCCAAGUGAUUAGUGGCAUUUAGUCCCAAGACCAGCUGGUUAGGAAUACUCUAAUGGACAACAGAACCAACAUAGUAUUCAGAAUAGCCUGAUAUGUGACAUUGGCUAUUGACUUUAAUGUUCCUAAAAGAAAUAGAUGUGAAGAGUACUAAAUUCUUAUUUGAUAUGUAUAAAUAGAAUAGUUCCAAGUCAUGUGAACAGAAGUCCAACUGCAUCCAUCAAAAAUAGAUACUGACUACCUCUUAAGCAGCACCCAGACACAAGCCAGUUUUAACACCCAGAAUUUAUUGAAUUCAGGAAAGGCUGCAUCUUCCUGAGUAAGUAUCCCAUUACCCUGCCAAGCAUUGCAGUUUUAUUCUUUUUCCCAGCUUCCCCCAAAGGGACCAUUUACCUGGGAUUGCCGGAUCCUGGCUCUGACAUUGAUUGAUGCUGAUUGGCCCUGGUGAGCAGGAAGUCACUGUUACCCUAGGCACAUUGAGAGAGAGAGAGCCCACAAGCAGAGAGAGCUGCAAGCAGAGCAGGCAGAGGGAGAAGACGUCUUCCUGCUGAGCAAGGAGCCCCAAGCAGGAUCAAUCCCAGGACUCUGGGAUCAUGACCUGAGCAGAUGCUUAACGGACUGAGCCACCCAGGCAUCCCAAGAGUUCAUUUUUUAAAUAGCUGAAUAAUGUUCCACUGUGUGUGUGUGUGUGUGUGUGUGUGUGUACACACAUGCAUACACACUCUACAUCUUUAUUCAUUCAUCUAUUGAUGGACACUUGAGUGCUUCCAUAAUUUGGCUAUUGAAAAUAAUGCAAUAAACAUAGGGAUGCAUAUA
Molecule: long non-coding RNA, 5569 nt
Organism: Mustela lutreola (European mink)
Lineage: Eukaryota; Metazoa; Chordata; Mammalia; Carnivora; Mustelidae
Exons: 2
Source: RefSeq, a predicted model, not a curated record